This 85-nucleotide transfer RNA is filed under the name Novipirellula aureliae. It matches the Rfam family "tRNA". Rfam says of the family: Transfer RNA (tRNA) molecules are approximately 80 nucleotides in length. Their secondary structure includes four short double-helical elements and three loops (D, anti-codon, and T loops). The record is from Rfam by way of RNAcentral. Lineage: Bacteria; Pseudomonadati; Planctomycetota; Planctomycetia; Pirellulales; Pirellulaceae.
GCCCAGGUGGUGGAAUUGGCAGACACAAGGGACUUAAAAUCCCUCGAGCGUUAAGCUUGUGCGGGUUCGAGUCCCGCCCUGGGCA